UCCAGACUCCUACGGGAGGCAGCAGUGGGGGAUAUUGCACAAUGGGGGGAACCCUGAUGCAGCGACGCCGCGUGGGUGAAGGAGCGUUUCGGCGCGUAAAGCCCUAUCGGCAGGGAAGAAGGAGGACGGUACCCGACUAAGAAGCCCCGGCUAACUACGUGCCAGCAGCCGCGGUAAUACGUAGGGGGCAAGCGUUAUCCGGAUUCACUGGGUGUAAAGGGAGCGUAGACGGCGGCGCAAGUCUGGAGUGAAAGCCCGGGGCCCAACCCCGGGACUGCUCUGGAAACUGCGGCGCUGGAGUACGGGAGGGGCAGGCGGGAUUCCUGGUGUAGCGGUGAAAUGCGUAGAUAUCAGGAGGAACACCGGCGGCGAAAGCGGCCUGCUGGGCUUUUACUGACGCUGAGGCUCGAAAGUGUGGGGAGCAAACAGGAUUAGAUACCCUCGUAA
Molecule: ribosomal RNA, 447 nt
Filed under: uncultured bacterium
Lineage: Bacteria
Description: partial 16S ribosomal RNA
Rfam family: Bacterial small subunit ribosomal RNA
Source: RNAcentral